GAUGAACGCUGGCGGCGUGCCUAAUACAUGCAAGUCGAACGCUGAAGGAGGAGCUUGCUCUUCUGGAUGAGUUGCGAACGGGUGAGUAACGCGUAGGUAACCUGCCUGGUAGCGGGGGAUAACUAUUGGAAACGAUAGCUAAUACCGCAUGACAACAGUUAUUGCAUGAUAACUGUUUAAAAGGGGCAACUGCUCCACUACCAGAUGGACCUGCGUUGUAUUAGCUAGUUGGUGAGGUAACGGCUCACCAAGGCGACGAUACAUAGCCGACCUGAGAGGGUGAUCGGCCACACUGGGACUGAGACACGGCCCAGACUCCUACGGGAGGCAGCAGGAGGGAAUCUUCGGCAAUGGACGGAAGUCUGACCGAGCAACGCCGCGGGAGUGAAGAAGGGUUUCGGAUCGUAAAGCUCUGUUGUAAGAGAAGAACGAGUGUGAGAGUGGAAAGUUCACACUGUGACGGUAUCUUACCAGAAAGGGACGGCUAACUACGUG
This 495-nucleotide ribosomal RNA is filed under the name uncultured bacterium. Its description in RNAcentral is "partial 16S ribosomal RNA". It matches the Rfam family "Bacterial small subunit ribosomal RNA", at positions 28 to 507 of the family's 1533-position model. The record is from RNAcentral.